This 387-nucleotide ribosomal RNA is filed under the name Triticum aestivum (bread wheat). RNAcentral's name for it is "partial small subunit ribosomal RNA". The record is from RNAcentral. Lineage: Eukaryota; Viridiplantae; Streptophyta; Magnoliopsida; Poales; Poaceae.
AUGUUUAUUAAUUUUAAUGCAUGUACAUGGCUGUUGUCGCUAUCUAGUUGGUCGCUUCCCAGUCUUUUGCUUGCCUUCACUUGUACUAAGCGGGAAUACUGCUUGUGCAUCCAAUCCCUUAAAACCCCAAAGUUAUUCCAGAUGAGUCCACCAUACCUUCCUAUAUGCGGUAUCUACCUGCCGUUCCAAGUAAAUUUGUAUGUGCCAAACUCUAAACCUUCAAAUAAACAUUCUGUUUUGUAUGCUCGAAUAGCUCAUGUAUCAACAAAGGUUGUCCUUAUCUUCCGUGUUAGGCGGGUUAUUCUCAAGAGGAGUGGACUCCGCUCCUCACUCAUGAGAAAAUGGCUGGUCACCGGGAUGCCCAGUCCCAUGCUUUAUGCAAACUAA